CCUACGGGGGGCAGCAGUGAGGAAUAUUGGUCAAUGGGCGAGAGCCUGAACCAGCCAAGUCGCGUGAAGGAUGACGGCCCUACGGGUUGUAAACUUCUUUUGUCAGGGAGCAAUUGAGUCCACGUGUGGGCUUAGCGAGAGUACCUGAAGAAAAAGCAUCGGCUAACUCCGUGCCAGCAGCCGCGGUAAUACGUAGGGGGCAAGCGUUAUCCGGAAUUACUGGGUGUAAAGGGAGCGUAGACGGCUGUGCAAGUCUGGAGUGAAAGGCGGGGGCCCAACCCCCGGACUGCUCUGGAAAAUGUAUGGCUGGAGUGCAGGAGAGGUAAGCGGAAUUCCUAGUGUAGCGGUGAAAUGCGUAGAUAUUAGGAGGAACACCAGUGGCGAAGGCGGCUUACUGGACUGUAACUGACGUUGAGGCUCGAAAGCGUGGGGAGCAAACAGGAUUAGAUACCCCUGUAGUC
RNAcentral lists this ribosomal RNA (461 nucleotides) under uncultured bacterium. RNAcentral's name for it is "partial 16S ribosomal RNA". It matches the Rfam family "Bacterial small subunit ribosomal RNA", at positions 338 to 795 of the family's 1533-position model. The record is from RNAcentral.